UAUGAAAAAAUUGGGGUACUGGGUCCCAAGAGAGUUUAUAACCUUACCAAUUAAAAAGGCACAACAAUAAUCGAACCCUCAACACGACGAUGCCAAUUAAAGGCAUGACAAAAUAAUUAAAAAUAUGAAUUCAACUCUAUAUAUUGAGUUCUCAUGGCUUGUUCGAUAAUGAUUAUGAAAAUUAAUUUUUUGACCUUUAUAGAGAAGUAAAUCCCACCUAUGACUCAAAAAAGUAAAAAUUGAUGAUUAAAAUAGUAAAAUAACAAUCAAAAAAUUCAUUUUUUGAGGUGAAAAAUUACUAUCAAACUAGAGUUUAGCCUAUUUCCGCUUGCGACAAUGGAGGUCAAAUUACCCGUAAUCUCCCCAUUUUGUGACUCAAUGUUACUAUGUACGGGAGUUUAAUUUUCAUGAAUUUGACGCCGACGAACAUUUCCAAAACUCAGAUUCUAUCGCAUUGCUCAACCGCCAAGGUAUUGAUUUCUCAAAGAAAAAGCAAACUCGAAUCCGUUCACCGCACUGUUUAUUGUGUCUUGACUUUUAAUUGCCCCUGCAUAAAGGUUACAUGGACAAUAAUAAAUUAGAAGUUAGUUGUCAGCCUUUCUUCAUACUUGAUUUUUGACGAAAUCUCGAUAUUAGUCAACUACAAUUUACAUUUUCAAGUAAAAUCAACUAUUCAUAAUACGAUUACAAUUUAUAAUACUAUUUUUUGUAAUACCAAUUACACAUUUACAAAUCAAUUAAAUUAUC
Molecule: long non-coding RNA, 747 nt
Filed under: Olea europaea subsp. europaea
Lineage: Eukaryota; Viridiplantae; Streptophyta; Magnoliopsida; Lamiales; Oleaceae
Source: RNAcentral